RNAcentral lists this unclassified non-coding RNA (616 nucleotides) under Hevea brasiliensis (rubber tree). The record is from RNAcentral. Lineage: Eukaryota; Viridiplantae; Streptophyta; Magnoliopsida; Malpighiales; Euphorbiaceae.
UUUUUUUUUUUUAAUUUUUUCUGUUCGUAUGGGUAGAUAAAAGGUGGUAGGACCUGAAUUGAAACUAGCUGUAUGCAUCUGUUCAUCUUUCACCCAAACAGUUAUUCAUUUCCCUGGCACUUAAAUGAACUCCACUCACAUUCUUUGGAAGUUUGGAUGGAAACAACACCCCAAUUGGCGUCUGGGAACUUUGCUUAUCAGUUAUUAGUUAUAUCGAAAUUUUGCUGUAUGGGUUGCAUUUUUUAAGCAAAUCAGAUACUUUAAAGCAAGUGCUUUAAGUGUUUGUAUAUGGGUAUACAAAGGACCUUACUCCUUGAUUUGGGUGGUUAUUCUUAUGUUAGUUUGAAGAGACCAAGAGCCUUCAUUGUCAUGCUUCUUUUUUGGCCUCUAUAACUUGGAAAAGAUAUGCUUUGCCCUCACAAUUCUAUUUCCAUUUUUUAUAUUAUUCAUAUCUGUCAUGUCAAUUGUUUGUGAUGAUUUUCUUUUGAAAUGAUUGUAAUUGUAAUAUACAUGAAUUUAUAUUCCUUUUAUGGUCAUUCUAACUUUCAAGUGUUUUUCCAUCUAAUCUUGUUUCAUUUGCAUAUUUGUCAUCAGUUGCGACUGAUCUUGCCUCCUG